RNAcentral lists this ribosomal RNA (995 nucleotides) under Bacilli bacterium. RNAcentral describes it as "bacterial LSU rRNA". It matches the Rfam family "Bacterial large subunit ribosomal RNA", at positions 1 to 988 of the family's 2925-position model. The record is from RNAcentral. Lineage: Bacteria; Bacillati; Bacillota; Bacilli.
UUAGUUAAGUGAAUAAGGGCGCACGGUGGAUGCCUUGGCACUAGGAGCCGAUGAAGGACGGGACUAACACCGAUAUGCCUCGGGGAGUUGUAAGUAAACUUAGAUCCGAGGAUUUCCGAAUGGGGAAACCCACUGUUCGUAAUGGAACAGGACUUAUACUUAAAUACAUAGGGCAUAAGAGGCACACCCAGGGAACUGAAACAUCUCAGUACCUGGAGGAAGAGAAAGCAAAUGCGAUUUCCCAAGUAGCGGCGAGCGAAACGGAAACAGCCCAAACCAGAGAGCUUGCUCUCUGGGGUUGUAGGACACUCCACAAGGAGUUACAAAGAAAUUCUUUAGAUGAAUCAACCUGGAAAGGUUAGCCAAAGAGGGUAACAGCCCUGUAAUCGAAAAAGAAUUUCCUCCGGAGUGGAUCCUGAGUACGGCGGAACACGUGGAAUUCCGUCGGAAUCCGGGAGGACCAUCUCCCAAGGCUAAAUACUCCCUAGUGACCGAUAGUGAACCAGUACCGUGAGGGAAAGGUGAAAAGCACCCCGGGAGGGGAGUGAAAGAGUACCUGAAACCGUGUGCCUACAAGUAGUCGAAGCGCGUUCAUGCGUAACGGCGUACCUUUUGUAGAAUGGACCGGCGAGUUACGAUUGUAUGCGAGGUUAAGUGGAAGACACGGAGCCGUAGCGAAAGCGAGUCUGAAUAGGGCGAUUUAGUAUGCGGUCGUAGACCCGAAACCGUGUGAUCUACCCAUGUCCAGGGUGAAGGUCAGGUAACACUGACUGGAGGCCCGAACCCACGUAUGUUGAAAAAUGCGGGGAUGAGGUGUGGGUAGGGGUGAAAUGCCAAUCGAACACGGAGAUAGCUGGUUCUCUCCGAAAUAGCUUUAGGGCUAGCCUCAAGAUGAUGAGUACUGGAGGUAGAGCACUGAUUGGACUAGGGGCCCUCAUCGGGUUACCGAAUUCAGUCAAACUCCGAAUGCCAGAUACUUAAACUUGGGAGUCAGA